ACAUCCAGAGAACUUAGCAGAGAUGCUUUGGUGCCUUCGGGAACUCUGAGACAGGUGCUGCAUGGCUGUCGCCAGCUCGUGUUGUGAAAUGUUGGGUUAAGUCCCGNAACGAGCGCAACCCUUAUCCUUUGUUGCCAGCGGUUCGGCCGGGAACUCAAAGGAGACUGCCGGUGAUAAACCGGAGGAAGGUGGGGAUGACGUCAAGUCAUCAAUGGCCCUUACGGCCAGGGCUACACACGUGCUACAAUGGCGCAUACAAAGAGAAGCGACCUCGCGAGAGCAAGCGGACCUCAUAAAGUGCGUCGUAGUCCGGAUUGGAGUCUGCAACUCGACUCCAUGAAGUCGGAAUCGCUAGUAAUCGUAGAUCAGAAUGCUACGGUGAAUACGUUCCCGGGCCUUGUACACACCGCCCGUCACACCAUGGGAGUGGGUUGCAAAAGAAGUAGGUAGCUUAACCUUCGGGAGGGCGCUUACCACUUUGUGAUUCAUGACUGGGGUGAAGUCGUAACAAGGUAAGCGUAGCGAG
This 526-nucleotide ribosomal RNA is filed under the name uncultured bacterium. Its description in RNAcentral is "bacterial SSU rRNA". It matches the Rfam family "Bacterial small subunit ribosomal RNA", at positions 984 to 1509 of the family's 1533-position model. The record is from RNAcentral.